RNAcentral lists this ribosomal RNA (509 nucleotides) under uncultured Dethiobacter sp. RNAcentral describes it as "bacterial SSU rRNA". It matches the Rfam family "Bacterial small subunit ribosomal RNA", at positions 8 to 526 of the family's 1533-position model. The record is from RNAcentral. Lineage: Bacteria; Bacillati; Bacillota; Dethiobacteria; Dethiobacterales; Dethiobacteraceae.
AGAGUUUGAUCCUGGCUCAGGACGAACGCUGGCGGCGUGCUUAACACAUGCAAGUCGAACGGGGUUUUACUUUAAGCUUGCUUUUUGUAAAACCUAGUGGCGCACGGGUGAGUAACACGUGGGCAACCUGCCCGGGAGUUCGGGAUAACAGCGCGAAAGUGCUGCUAAUACCGGAUACCUUCACGAGUCCUCAUGGAUUUGUGAAGAAAGAUUUAUUGCUUCCGGAUGGGCCCGCGUCCCAUUAGCUAGUUGGUGAGGUAACGGCUCACCAAGGCGACGAUGGGUAGCUGGUCUGAGAGGACGAUCAGCCACACUGGAACUGAGACACGGUCCAGACUCCUACGGGAGGCAGCAGUGGGGAAUCUUGCGCAAUGGGCGAAAGCCUGACGCAGCAACGCCGCGUGAACGAUGAAGGCCUUCGGGUCGUAAAGUUCUGUCAGGGGGGACGAUAAUGACGGUACCCCCGGAGGAAGCCCCGGCUAACUACGUGCCAGCCGCCGCGGUAAUAC